UGCCAGCCGCCGCGGUAAGACAGAGGGGGCAAGCGUUGUCCGGAGUUACUGGGCGUAAAGGGCGCGAAGGCGGUCGGUUGCGUCGGCGCUGAAAGCGCCCCGCUUAACGGGGCGAGGCGCGCCGAUACGAACCGACUGGAGGCGAGCAGAGGGCAGCGGAAUUCCGGGUGGAGCGGUGAAAUGCGUAGAGAUCCGGAGGAACGCCAGUGGAGCAGUCGGCUGCCUGGGCUCGACCUGACGCUGCGGCGCGACAGCGUGGGGAGCAAACCGGAUUAGAUA
RNAcentral lists this ribosomal RNA (279 nucleotides) under uncultured bacterium. RNAcentral describes it as "partial 16S ribosomal RNA". It matches the Rfam family "Bacterial small subunit ribosomal RNA", at positions 506 to 784 of the family's 1533-position model. The record is from RNAcentral.